Molecule: ribosomal RNA, 47 nt
Filed under: Colletotrichum acutatum
Lineage: Eukaryota; Fungi; Ascomycota; Sordariomycetes; Glomerellales; Glomerellaceae
Description: partial 28S ribosomal RNA
Source: RNAcentral
ACAGGUUGACCUCGGAUCAGGUAGGAAUACCCGCUGAACUUAAGCAU